Molecule: non-coding RNA, 73 nt
Organism: Canis lupus familiaris (dog)
Lineage: Eukaryota; Metazoa; Chordata; Mammalia; Carnivora; Canidae
Source: Rfam
GCCUGGCCGGCUCAAUUGGUAGAGCAUGUGACUCUUGAUCUCAGGGUUGUGAAUUUGAGCCCCACGCUGGGCA